AGGGCCACUAAAUCUGCCUUACACAUGCAGUCGAACGGUAGCACAGAGAGCUUGCUCUCGGGUGACGAGUGGCGGACGGGUGAGUAAUGUCUGGGAAACUGCCUGAUGGAGGGGGAUAACUACUGGAAACGGUAGCUAAUACCGCAUAACGUCGCAAGACCAAAGAGGGGGACCUUCGGGCCUCUUGCCAUCAGAUGUGCCCAGAUGGGAUUAGCUAGUAGGUGGGGUAACGGCUCACCUAGGCGACGAUCCCUAGCUGGUCUGAGAGGAUGACCAGCCACACUGGAACUGAGACACGGUCCAGACUCCUACGGGAGGCAGCAGUGGGGAAUAUUGCACAAUGGGCGCAAGCCUGAUGCAGCCAUGCCGCGUGUAUGAAGAAGGCCUUCGGGUUGUAAAGUACUUUCAGCGGGGAGGAAGGUGUUGUGGUUUAUAACCUCAUCAAUUGACGUUA
Molecule: ribosomal RNA, 454 nt
Filed under: Enterobacter ludwigii
Lineage: Bacteria; Pseudomonadati; Pseudomonadota; Gammaproteobacteria; Enterobacterales; Enterobacteriaceae
Description: bacterial SSU rRNA
Rfam family: Bacterial small subunit ribosomal RNA
Source: RNAcentral